UACAGUUAGUAGUUUGUUUAUCAUUAAAUUGUUACCUUUCUCCAAUGAUUAGGGUGUUAAUUGUUGUCAACAAUAAAAUUAGCUUCAAAUAUCAAGUAAAACAAGUUGACUUUGGAAAGCAAAUUGUAAUAAGCUGAUUAAUUUAAGUUAAUUAGAUUCCACUAAUUAACUGUCACCCAAAUUAAAUCAACAACAAAAAAGUGUUUUUCCUCUCUCAAUUUGUGUUCAAUCAUCUUUAUUGAUUAUCGUUAAUUAUUAUUGACCUUUAAUGGCUGAACGUUUACGAGAGAUCGAUUUUAUCGUUCAAUUAUCUUAUGGACCAGAGAUUACGAAAAAUUUUCUCGCUCGUAAAAUGAACCAACGGAUUGACCUGAUUAACCGGAUUAUCCAAAGAUACACUUUAACCGAGCCCGUUAUCCAUUUCUGUAACAUUACCAUUCGUACCCUGAGGAUAUUGGAAAAUCUUGUCCAUGAAGAUUUCAACCCAUUGUUGGAAAAUUUUGGUUCCAAUCAUUUCAUUCAGAUGAUGAUUAAACAAUAUGAGAAUAUUGUUCAUUCACUUGCAAUUGCUUUUCGUGGAUUAGAUUUAUUUAAAUUGGAUUAUGAGACUCCUAAUUCCUUGCUGCAAAAGCUUCAAACUGAACCAAUUGAAUCAAUUAAAUCACAAGCAAUUAUAUUAAUUGAUUCUUACAAAGAUGAUAUUAAAUUGGUUGAAGCUUGUGAUGCAAAUUGUAAUUUCAAGUUAAAUCUACCCAAUCAACCAUCAGUUUUCACGAGACUGGCAACCAUUGCAAUUGAACAAUUAGAUUCACUUCGUGGUGACAUUGAAACAAUCAAUCUAAUUGCUGAUAAUUGUGACGAUGUUAACAAUCAAAUGGAACCUUUGUCAACAACAUCAAUUAAUUGUCUCAAAAUUAAUCUUAUACGAUUGAAUUUUAUCAUUCACAUGAUUACCUCUGAUUAUGAUAAACUUACCAUCUACUAAUCUUAUAAUAAACAAUUAAGUGUCAAAGACCUUCAGCAAUCAUCAUCUUCAUAAUCAUCAUCAUUUGAUUGUUAAAAAUGAUCACAAGCAAUUACUAUGUAUUCAAAGUGCCAAACAAUUUAAGGAUCAAUGAAACAAAUCAGUGACCAAAAUGUAUAAUAAGUUUUGUGAAAUUAAAAAUCCAUAUAUGAAAAAAAAUAAACAUAGACAAUAUUAAUUAAUUAGAAUUGACAAUUUAAUUGUAAUCAAUUGACUAAUUUGUUUUUCGCGCUAAUCCAACAAAAGGCGGAGCUCAAACUUUUACCGUUAACUUUAAACAAAUUUGGUUAGUAAAUUACAAAUUGUAAUUCAAGGUUGUUUGAUUUACCGUUACAACGAUUGUCAUUACAAUCAUUUAUUUAAUCAACUCUUAUUUAAUCAAGUUAAUUGUGACAAGAUUGAAUGAUGAACAAUAACAAUUGUGAUCCAGUCAAUCUUUUCAAUUCAGUUCUUUAUUGAUUCCGUUUCCUUUUCUGCUCAUCUGAUUACUAACAUUCAACAUCAUCAGGUGUUUAUUUUAAUCAUCUUUUUUAAUUGUCUAAUUUGCUCACAUUGUUAUGGUAAUGUCUAGUGUAACCAUGAAAUCGAGUCAAAUGAGAGAGGUUGAUUUCAUUUCCAAACUAAUCAAAUAUGGACCAGUAUUGACACGACAUUUAUUGACCAGUAAAAUUGACCAAUUGCUCAGAAUCUUUCGAUCUGAAAUGAGUCAACCCGAUUGUGAUACAAGUAAAAUCGAUCUUUGUUCAAUUGCAAUCGAAACUCUGGUCCUACUUAACGAGUCAAUUGCUUACACCUACGAUCGAUUGGAUCGACUUGGUGGAGAUGAAAUCAGAAAAUUUGAUCAACUAAUCUUGGACCAAUAUGAAAACAUCCUGAGUGUCCUUUGUGAACAAUCAGAUUACCAUGAUGACCAUUACCUGAAACCAAAUAAUUUGCUGGCUAAUCUAUCCUACAAAACAGCGGAAACCAUUAAAAAUCAAGCUCUUAAUCUGAUUAACCAAUAUAAAGCUGAUGUCGCCUUAAUCCUUUCUUGUGAAAAUCUUACACCAAAUUGUGACCUUACAGUUUUAGCGAGUAUUGUUAUCGUGAAAUUAGAUUCACUUCAUCAUGAAAUGUCCAACAUAACGAUUCCCGAUGAAACUACAAGGUACGAGUUCAAACAUUCAAUGUACUUUGCCUUACAACUUUCCAUUAAUCGACUUAAUUUUAUACUUAAUCUAUUGUUCCUUUAAUUUCGUAUCUUAACAUUCACAAUUUCUACUUAAAUCCUUUUAAAUUGGAUCUCCUAACUGACCAAAUAAUCCAAAUAAUUUUCCUGUCACUAAGUCAAUAAACUACUUAUGAAUUUUAA
Molecule: RNA transcript, 2375 nt
Organism: Panonychus citri (citrus red mite)
Lineage: Eukaryota; Metazoa; Arthropoda; Arachnida; Trombidiformes; Tetranychidae
Exons: 3
Source: RefSeq, a predicted model, not a curated record